Molecule: small nuclear RNA, 141 nt
Organism: Sapajus apella (tufted capuchin)
Lineage: Eukaryota; Metazoa; Chordata; Mammalia; Primates; Cebidae
Product: U4 spliceosomal RNA
Exons: 1
Source: RefSeq, a predicted model, not a curated record
AGCUUUGUGCAGUGGCAGUAUUGUAGCCAGUGAGGUUUAUCCAAGGCACAAUUAUCAUUAACUGAAAACUUUUCCCAAUACCCCGCCAUGACAACUUGCAAUAUAGUCGGCAUUGGCAAUUUUUGACAGUCUCUAUGGAGA